Molecule: long non-coding RNA, 360 nt
Filed under: Mytilus galloprovincialis (Mediterranean mussel)
Lineage: Eukaryota; Metazoa; Mollusca; Bivalvia; Mytilida; Mytilidae
Source: RNAcentral
GUGGUGUUAUUGCCUAUGAGACAAAAAUAGAUCCAUCAAAAUUCAAAUACAGUUGUUUAAACACUCACAGGCAACCGUACGGCCUUUCAACAUGAGAAAAAUCCCAUACCGUAUAUAGUUUGUCAUACAAGGCAUCAACAUGGUUUUUUUUUGUGGGUUGUUUUUUUUAUCGGCAGUCGUUAGUUUAUUCAACUUUUUUUCUGUACGUUUUGUGAUAUCAGCUGUUCGAUCGUGACGUUUGAAGACUUUUGAGGACUUGGCAGAAAUCAACAAUGUAGAAUAGAAUUCGUCAUGACAUAUUCUAGAGGUUAACAUAUCUAAUUAGUACAGAACUUCACUUUCUCUUCCACUUGCCUUUUA